Neopelma chrysocephalum (saffron-crested tyrant-manakin) is the source of this 101-nucleotide long non-coding RNA. RefSeq lists it as uncharacterized. The transcript has 3 exons. Lineage: Eukaryota; Metazoa; Chordata; Aves; Passeriformes; Pipridae. The record is from RefSeq and is a predicted model, not a curated record.
CAGACACCAAGCCCCACGCAGCCGCUCUCUCACUCUCCCAUGAGCAGGCUCGGGGAGAGAAUCGGAAGGGUAAAAGCCAAAAAAACUAGAGGAUUGAGAUA